ACGUAGGGUGCGAGCGUUAAUCGGAAUUACUGGGCGUAAAGGGUGCGCAGGCGGCCCCGCAAGUCAGGCGUGAAAUCCCCGGGCUUAACCUGGGAAUGGCGCUUGAAACUACGGGGCUGGAGUAUGGCAGAGGGAGGUGGAAUUCCACGUGUAGCGGUGAAAUGCGUAGAGAUGUGGAGGAACACCGAUGGCGAAGGCAGCCUCCUGGGCCAAUACUGACGCUCAUGCACGAAAGCGUGGGGAGCAAACAGGAUUAGAUACCCUGGUAGUCCACGCCCUAAACGAUGAUGACUAGUUGUUGGAGGAGUUAAAUCCUUUAGUAACGCAGCUAACGCGAGAAGUCAUCCGCCUGGGGAGUACGGUCGCAAGAUUA
Molecule: ribosomal RNA, 373 nt
Filed under: uncultured bacterium
Lineage: Bacteria
Description: bacterial SSU rRNA
Rfam family: Bacterial small subunit ribosomal RNA
Source: RNAcentral